Molecule: long non-coding RNA, 586 nt
Organism: Drosophila erecta
Lineage: Eukaryota; Metazoa; Arthropoda; Insecta; Diptera; Drosophilidae
Exons: 2
Source: RefSeq, a predicted model, not a curated record
AAACUCUUUCUCAUAAUAGUAUAAAAGAAUGAAGUUCUCGGAAAUGAAAUAAUGAACGUCGCUCAGUCUUAUUCUCCUGAGGCGGAAUACCCCCAACGCCACAGCUCGCAAUAUAAAGUGGAAAACUAUCGACGUCUCCACAACAAUAAAAACCUACGACUUCUAAGUUGGUACAAUUUUGACGUUUGAUCACCCUUGAUCGCCGAUUGCGUUUAUGCGGAUUGUGUGUUAUCCUGGGAAAGUUUGGUCGCAAACCUCAUUGCACGGAGCAGACCGCCAAUAUAUUGUGCCGCAGCGGCAAAUUCCUUAUGCUUGGAGGCGCGGUUGCUCGGGACGCUCCUGCUGGCCAGAUUGGGAUUGCCCUCGGGAGCGAUUGUUAAUGACCGAGGUUUUGUUUUACAAAUUUAUUCCUGCCAACGCAUUAUGGGCCACUUGUUCUGGGCAAAAUGAUUAACUCCAGAACGGAGAUAGAUAUUCAGUUUAUGUUGUUUGUGUAUGGUAACACUAGCUCAAUUCUUUUAUGAUACCAAAAAUUGUGUGUUUGGCCCGCCCCUCAUUUAUUUUUGUAUUUUAUAACUCCAGAACG